AUUUGAUCAAAAGAGUUACUCGCAUUUUAGCGCUUACGAUCUUUUGAGAAGUUUUACAUAUAUCGGUUAGAUAUAUACACGGUAUUUGUUUGGCGAGAAGAGAUAUCAUCUCAUCUGGUAUCGAUGCAGAAUUCCUGGUGCUGCGCCAUUCCUUAUUUCCUUAUCAACCACAUAUCAGAAUUCUGGAUAAUAAUUCAGAUUACUGGCUGUAUAUUCAAUCGAAUUUUGGGGUCUUGAGUUGGUGGGGUGUAACGUGUUUCAGACCAGAAUCCUGCCGGACCAUCCAAUUGCAAGGAC
Dreissena polymorpha is the source of this 297-nucleotide long non-coding RNA. RefSeq lists it as uncharacterized. The record is from RefSeq and is a predicted model, not a curated record. The transcript has 3 exons. NCBI's taxonomy places the organism in Eukaryota, Metazoa, Mollusca, Bivalvia, Myida, Dreissenidae.